GAUGACCCUGCUUCCAAACACUUUCUCCACUGACACAGGAGUUUGCUCUUCUCUUCUGUACCAUUUUCCUGAAGAACUGGAAGACUAAGAGCAAGAUCCUCGGAACAUGUAACAGUGUAGACAAAGCAGGACUUACUUCAUGAGGACACGGCCAUCAAUAUGCAGACAGAGCACCCCAAAUCUUUAAGAAAUACCUUUCCAACAGUGAGAGACAUGGAUCUAGAUGAACGAGGAACCCCAUCUUCUGCACAGAAACAAAGACAAAGAACAGUCUUAGACUAUAUUUUCCACAUACUGCAUCAUUACUUCUGUUGCCUUUGACAUACGCUUUUCCUAAGGAAGAAAAGAAGGAAAUACCCAGGUAAC
Molecule: long non-coding RNA, 366 nt
Organism: Pseudopodoces humilis (Tibetan ground-tit)
Lineage: Eukaryota; Metazoa; Chordata; Aves; Passeriformes; Paridae
Source: RefSeq, a predicted model, not a curated record